This is a ribosomal RNA of 434 nucleotides. It matches the Rfam family "Bacterial small subunit ribosomal RNA", at positions 341 to 792 of the family's 1533-position model.
ACGGGAGGCAGCAGUGGGGAAUAUUGGGCAAUGGGCGAAAGCCUGACCCAGCAACGCCGCGUGAAGGAAGAAGGUCUUCGGAUUGUAAACUUCUUUUAUGAGGGACGAUAAUGACGGUACCUCAUGAAUAAGCCACGGCUAACUACGUGCCAGCAGCCGCGGUAAUACGUAGGUGGCAAGCGUUAUCCGGAUUUACUGGGUGUAAAGGGCGCGUAGGCGGGAAAGCAAGUCAGAUGUGAAAUCCAUGGGCUCAACUCAUGAACUGCAUUUGAAACUGUUUUUCUUGAGUGUCGGAGAGGUAGAUGGAAUUCCUAGUGUAGCGGUGAAAUGCGUAGAUAUUAGGAAGAACACCAGUGGCGAGGGCGGCUUACUGGACGGUAACUGACGUUGAGGCUCGAAAGCGUGGGGAGCAAACAGGAUUAGAUACCCUGGUA